UACGUAGGGGGCAAGCGUUAUCCGGAUUUACUGGGUGUAAAGGGAGCGUAGGUGGCAUGGUAAGCCAGAAGUGAAAACCCGGGGCUCAACCCUGCGGAUUGCUUUUGGAACUAUCAGGCUGGAGUGCUGGAGGGGUAAGCGGAAUUCCUAGUGUAGCGGUGAAAUGCGUAGAUAUUAGGAGGAACACCGGUGGCGAAGGCGGCUUACUGGACAGAAACUGACACUGAGGCUCGAAAGCGUGGGGAGCAAACAGG
This 254-nucleotide ribosomal RNA is filed under the name uncultured bacterium. Its description in RNAcentral is "partial 16S ribosomal RNA". It matches the Rfam family "Bacterial small subunit ribosomal RNA", at positions 524 to 776 of the family's 1533-position model. The record is from RNAcentral.